Molecule: non-coding RNA, 241 nt
Organism: Mustela putorius furo (domestic ferret)
Lineage: Eukaryota; Metazoa; Chordata; Mammalia; Carnivora; Mustelidae
Source: Rfam
AAAAAGACACUGUGUUCGGGGAUCAUUUCUACAGUUUGUUGCUAGAGAAGUUUUUCUGAACAUGUAGAGUACCUCAAACCAUGUGGAGGAAGAGGAGUGCUCUCUUGUGAGCCUGAAGCUGGAUUUAGGUGUUCUUUCCAAACAGCCAAUUAUGGGUGCCUGGGUUGCUCAGUUUGUUAAACAACUGCCUUUGGCUCAGGUCAUGAUACUGGAGUCCUGAGAUCAAGUCCCACAUCAGAGU